RNAcentral lists this ribosomal RNA (253 nucleotides) under uncultured bacterium. Its description in RNAcentral is "partial 16S ribosomal RNA". It matches the Rfam family "Bacterial small subunit ribosomal RNA", at positions 524 to 776 of the family's 1533-position model. The record is from RNAcentral.
UACGAAGGGUGCAAGCGUUACUCGGAAUUACUGGGCGUAAAGCGUGCGUAGGUGGUUUGUUAAGUCUGUUGUGAAAGCCCCGGGCUCAACCUGGGAAUGGCAAUGGAUACUGGCAAGCUAGAGUGCGGUAGAGGGUAGUGGAAUUCCCGGUGUAGCGGUGAAAUGCGUAGAGAUCGAGAGGAACACCAGUGGCGAAGGCGAGUCCCUGGACAGGUCCUGACGCUGAGGCACGAAAGCUAGGGGAGCAAACAGG